CAGCAGUGGGGAAUAUCGCACAAUGGCGGAAACCCUGAUGCAGAGACGCUGUGUGAGUGAAGAAGUAUUUGUGGUAUGUAAAGCUUUAUCAGCAGGGAAGAAAUAGGCGGUUCCUGACUAAGAAGCCCCGGAUAACUACGUGCCAGCAGCCGCGGUAAUACGUAGGGGGCAAGCGUUAUCCGGAUUUCCUGGGUGUAAAGGGAGAGUAGGUGGCAUAUCAAGUCAGAUGUGUAAAGACUCCGGGGCUCCACCCCGGGAUUGCAUUUGAAAAUGGUAUGCUAGAGUUCAGGAGAGGUAAGUGGAAUUCCUAGUGUAGCGGUGAAAUGCGUAGAUAUUAGGAGGAACACCAGUGCCGCAGGCGGCUUACUGGACUGUAACUCACCAUGAGGCUCGAAAGCGUGGGGAGCAAACAAGAUAACAUACCCUGGUAGUGUCACGCCGUAAAACGAGGAGUACUAGGUGUCGGGGGUCAAUAGACCUUCGGUGCCGUCGCAAACGCAUUAAGUAUUCCGCAUGGGGAGUACGUUCGCAAGAAUGAAACUCAAAGGAAUUGACGGGGACCCGCGCAAGCGCUGGAGCAUGUGGUUUAAUUCGAAGCAACGCCAAGAACCUUUCCAAACCUUGACAUCCCGGUGACUGGUCUUUAAUCAGACCUUCCUAAGUUUACUUAGGCGCCGGUGACACGUGGUGCACGGUGGUCGUCAGCUCGUGUCUUGAGAUGUUGGGUUAAGUCCCGUACCGAGCGCACCCCCUAUCUCUAGUAGCCACCACGUAAUGUUGGGCACUCUAGAGAGACUGCCAGGGAUAACUUGGAGGAAGGUGGGGAUGACGUCAAAUCAUCAUGCCCCUUAUGUUUUGGGCUACACACGUGCUACAAUGGCUGCUACAAAGGGAAGCAAAUGGGUGACCAUGCGCAAACCUCAAGAAGGCAGUCCCAGUUCGGAUUGUAGUCUGCAACUCGGCUACAUGAAGUUGGAAUCGCUAGUAAUCGCGAGUCAGAAUAUCGCGGUGAAUACGUUCCCGGGUCUUGCACUCACCGCCCGUCA
RNAcentral lists this ribosomal RNA (1046 nucleotides) under uncultured bacterium. Its description in RNAcentral is "bacterial SSU rRNA". It matches the Rfam family "Bacterial small subunit ribosomal RNA", at positions 349 to 1399 of the family's 1533-position model. The record is from RNAcentral.